Oryza barthii is the source of this 205-nucleotide non-coding RNA. The record is from Rfam. Lineage: Eukaryota; Viridiplantae; Streptophyta; Magnoliopsida; Poales; Poaceae.
AAAAAGAUAAAUCUUUGUUUCCGUGUCCAACAUUUGACCGUCCGUCUUAUUUGAAAAAAUUAUGAAAAAAUAUAAAAAGAUAAGUCACGUAUAAAGUAUUAAUCAUGUUUUAUCAUCUAAUAACAAUGAAAAUACUAAUUAUAAAAAAAUUUAUAUAAGACGGAUAGUCAAAUGUUGGACACAUAAACUCAGGUUUGUCUUUUUU